Non-coding RNA from Pelobates cultripes (western spadefoot toad), 211 nucleotides. The record is from the annotation of a GenBank genome assembly. Lineage: Eukaryota; Metazoa; Chordata; Amphibia; Anura; Pelobatidae.
CAAAAAAGUAAAAAACAAAAAGUUAGCAUUUAGUAAUUAUAAAAAUACCCAGAGUGAGGAAGACAGAAUGAUCUAUAAGAUUAGGCAGAAAGAGGCUAAGCAAGUUAUAAGAGCUUCCAAAUCACACAGAAGAGAAAAUAGCACAGUCAGUAAAAAAAGGGGACAAAACAUUAUUUAGAUACAUAAAUGAGAAAAGGAAAGUAAAACAAGG